AGUUCAUUAUGUUGGACAGGGCGCGUCUGCGCCUCCGGCCGCCGCGGCUCCCGGGGCCUCCGCCUGCAGCCGGCGGCGGAACGAGGGCAGGCGGCUGAGACAGGCGAGCUAUUUGCAUUCCCCGGCAGUCAUUUUUAUAUGCGGAGGUAAUGAAGUUGUCAGCGGCGCCCCGAGUGUGGCAGAGCCUGAUAUUCAAAUCGCCCUGCCCGCUCCGCCUGCUCCCGCCCGCUGGUCCCGGGAGCCCCAGGCUGCGCGCGCCCGCACCGCAUCGCCGCUUUGCCCCGCGACCGCGCGCGCCUCCUCGUCCUCCCCCGCGCCUUUGUUUCCGUCUCCUUCUCCUUUCCCUCCUCUUUUGUGUCGGGCCAGACUCAGCCCCAGAAACCAGCCACCCUGCCGCGUCCGACUGCCAGGGAUCCCUCACGCCGCGAGUACCAGAGAUGUCUCCAAGAGCACCAGCAACCCCAGCUAUCUGGAUCUGAAGUGGAUAUGCUCAGAGACAUCCUGGCCCACCCCAAAGAAGAUGCUGCUGCACUCAGAAGACGCCAGAGCUAGCCACCACCCACACUGCAAGUCUGGAAGCUCUGCAAGGACCCAGCAAGGCAGCCUGCUCAGCGAAGGCUUUGUCUCCUGUGGCAGGAAGAGCAACAUUAAGAACAAGAACCCCGGGCUGGACUACCCCUGAGAUUUAAUGACCAGAGCUGAGACCCCCAAGACCACAAUGACUAUGGAGGGCUGUCAUUACCCUGCCUGACCCUCUAAUGCCUCUCAGUUCAAGGAGGCCACUGAGUGAAACUGAAGGCUGGUUUUCCUUGGAAGCCAGCGGCCCAUCCACCUGCUCCACUUCCCUGCCUCUUGCAGCCUCCGCUCAAACACUGUCGUGGCUUGGCAGCA
This 891-nucleotide long non-coding RNA is filed under the name Homo sapiens (human). Its description in RNAcentral is "non-protein coding lnc-SNX10-2:1". The record is from RNAcentral. Lineage: Eukaryota; Metazoa; Chordata; Mammalia; Primates; Hominidae.